AAACACAGCACUCUGCUAACUCGUAAGAGGAUGUAUAGGGUGUGACGCCUGCCCGGUGCUCGAAGGUUAAUUGAUGGGGUUAGCAUUAGCGAAGCUCUUGAUCGAAGCCCGAGUAAACGGCGGCCGUAACUAUAACGGUCCUAAGGUAGCGAAAUUCCUUGUCGGUUAAAUACCGACCUGCAUGAAUGGCGUAACGAGAUGGGAGCUGUCUCAAAGAGGGAUCCAGUGAAAUUGUAGUGGAGGUGAAAAUUCCUCCUACCCGCGGCAAGACGGAAAGACCCCGUGGACCUUUACUACAGCUUGACACUGCUACUUGGAUAAGAAUGUGCAGGAUAGGUGGGAGGCUUUGAGUAUAUGACGCCAGUUGUAUAUGAGCCAUUGUUGAGAUACCACUCUUUCUUAUUUGGGUAGCUAACCAGCUUGAGUUAUCCUCAAGUGGGACAAUGUCUGGUGGGUAGUUUGACUGGGGCGGUCGCCUCCCAAAUAAUAACGGAGGCUUACAAAGGUUGGCUCAGAACGGUUGGAAAUCGUUCGUAGAGUAUAAAGGUAUAAGCCAGCUUAACUGCAAGACAUACAAGUCAAGCAGAGACGAAAGUCGGUCUUAGUGAUCCGGUGGUUCUGUGUGGAAGGGCCAUCGCUCAAAGGAUAAAAGGUACCCCGGGGAUAACAGGCUGAUCUCCCCCAAGAGCUCACAUCGACGGGGAGGUUUGGCACCUCGAUGUCGGCUCAUCGCAUCCUGGGGCUGGAGCAGGUCCCAAGGGUAUGGCUGUUCGCCAUUUAAAGCGGUACGCGAGCUGGGUUCAGAACGUCGUGAGACAGUUCGGUCCCUAUCUGCCGUGGGCGUAAGAAGAUUGAAGAGAUUUGACCCUAGUACGAGAGGACCGGGUUGAACAAACCACUGGUGUAGCUGUUGUUCUGCCAAGAGCAUCGCAGCGUAGCUAAGUUUGGAAAGGAUAAACGCUGAAAGCAUCUAAGCGUGAAGCCAACUCUAAGAUGAAUCUUCUCUAAGCUCUCUAGAAGACUACUAGUUUGAUAGGCUGGGUGUGUAAUGGAUGAAAGUCCUUUAGCUGACCAGUACUAAUAGAGCGUUUGGCUUAUCUUUAAUAAAGCAU
RNAcentral lists this ribosomal RNA (1112 nucleotides) under Campylobacter coli. RNAcentral's name for it is "partial 23S ribosomal RNA". It matches the Rfam family "Bacterial large subunit ribosomal RNA", at positions 1811 to 2925 of the family's 2925-position model. RNAcentral also lists the same sequence under 1 other name. Lineage: Bacteria; Pseudomonadati; Campylobacterota; Epsilonproteobacteria; Campylobacterales; Campylobacteraceae. The record is from RNAcentral.